AAAAAUUAUUUUCCUCUGAAAAUGAUUCAAAGUGGAAAUUGGAAAAUUGCAAUGUUGUCUGACAGCUCAUUCAUGUAGCAUUUAUUAGUAAAAAAAUGAAUAUAAGCAAUCAGGGAAUUAAAUUAGAUCUUCACAGAAAUCAAGGCCUUGAAAUCAAGAUUUGUAAUGAGUUUACUUACAUAUUUGUAGGUAUAGGCUGUACUUUAGAAGUCUUCAGAAUCACAUCAUUUUUUUUUUGAGGAACUGUUAGAUUGUUUUCAUAAUUAGUAAUAGUUCUUAUUGUUGCUUGAUGCUUUUACAAGGAAAUGUCAUAAUACUUUACAAAUAAGAACUGCUUGCUACAAAGGUUGAGACAGAUUUGCUUAGGAUGCUGCCACCUUCAGGAAAUUUUACCUUGUGAUAAGUUUGCAUCUAUGAUAUUGGGGAACACAUUUCUCUUUAAGGGGUGUUAAAAAUUCGCUGUGUUCAUGUUAUGAUUUUUUUUUUCUUUACCUGGUAACAAAGAGUUGAAUAGCACUUUUGAUAUUAAGAUUUUCUAUUUUGGAAAGUAUUUGAAAGGGGUUAUGUUACUCCAUUAAGAAAAACAAAAUUUUCAAAACUAAUAAAGACAUGAUGUGAAUUUUAAAUACUUUUAAAUGUUAUACCUGACUUGGAAAAUUACAUAUACCACUGCAAAUAGUUUGAGAAAUAAUUAAAUAAUUUUCCUGCUUAGAAGGGAUUAAAUAAUAAAGCAGUUUACUUAUAAUUUCUUGUGCCUUUUAAUUAUGUGGCUAUUAAUAUAGUUAUGCUUAAUUCCCUAAGAUGUGCUCAAGAAAACUACGCUUUUAUCUUGAAAAUAAUUUUCACUCAAUGUUGGGAUGAAAUAUUAUGGAUUAUCUUGAGGGUUGUUUUGAGG
Molecule: long non-coding RNA, 895 nt
Filed under: Marmota monax (woodchuck)
Lineage: Eukaryota; Metazoa; Chordata; Mammalia; Rodentia; Sciuridae
Source: RNAcentral